Molecule: small nuclear RNA, 107 nt
Organism: Molossus molossus (Pallas's mastiff bat)
Lineage: Eukaryota; Metazoa; Chordata; Mammalia; Chiroptera; Molossidae
Source: RefSeq, a predicted model, not a curated record
GUGCUCGCUUCGGCAGCACAUAUACCAGAGUUUGAACAAUACAGAGAAGAUUAACAUGGUCCCUGCACAAGGAUGAUGCACAGGUCUGUGAAGGGUUCCUUUUUUUU